ACAUUGAUCAUCAAUUUACCUUGUUUGUUAAAGAUUCUCCAAUAUAGCACAAUAUAAAUAUAUUAAAGGUCAUAGAAGUCAGUAGUAUGCUAUAUGUAAAUACACCAAUCCUAUUAUUUUCUUCCCAAUCCUGCGUAAAAAUGACGAAGAAUAAAUUUUAAUUAAAAUAUUUAUAUUGUGACUACUUGUGUCCUAUUUUCUACGUGAACUAUGUGAUUUACGAGAUCUUCUAAAGCAGUGACAAAUCUGUAAAGCGUCGCGUAUGGAUAUUUUUUAUUUUUAAUUUUUUAACAGAAAAAUGAAUCGAAAUUAUUACCGUAUUACAUGUAAAUGAUGUUUCACAAUGGUAGCUAAUCGUUGACCGGCACAAGUUCUUGUAUCAUUGUAUUUUUGUCCGUCAACAAGAUCAUCUAUCAACGACGCUAUAAUUUCGAUUUGUCCGCAAAUAUGCAUCGCGAAGAUCGCUGCUAGGCUACAAGCACCGGUCGUUACCGAAUAUAUCACGUAUCCGCACAAACAAUGAGCGAGAUAAACGAAUUCAUAAAUGGGACUCUUCUGUACGUCGUAAAGGACACUGUAGCUCGGAUAAACCAACGGCUUCAAUGUACGAUUCGAUACAUCCAUAAUACGUGGACCAGAAAAAGAGAGUCUACGGAAUUGAAAAAAUCUGACGAAUGAUGCAUCCUCGUGGCAGGAAGUUCUGCGCUAAACUAAUUUCGAAUUGAUCUUAAACUGAUACAGGUAAACAACGAACGAUUGAUUAUUCUUUCGUUAUUUUCUGCGCUUGCGCCUGUAUACGCUACGUAUAUAUGCGCAGUCUACGUAUCCUUUGUCUUUCAGAUAAUCACUAGACCAAUCUUUAAUCUCAUAGAUAUCGGAUACGACUUUUCAAUGAGUUUCUUAAUCAAUAGUUAUGCGUGAAG
This is a long non-coding RNA of Vespa velutina, 923 nucleotides long. RefSeq lists it as uncharacterized. The transcript is spliced from 3 exons. The record is from RefSeq and is a predicted model, not a curated record. NCBI's taxonomy places the organism in Eukaryota, Metazoa, Arthropoda, Insecta, Hymenoptera, Vespidae.